This 77-nucleotide transfer RNA is filed under the name Bifidobacterium mongoliense. Its description in RNAcentral is "tRNA-Met". It matches the Rfam family "tRNA". From Rfam's summary of the family: Transfer RNA (tRNA) molecules are approximately 80 nucleotides in length. Their secondary structure includes four short double-helical elements and three loops (D, anti-codon, and T loops). Lineage: Bacteria; Bacillati; Actinomycetota; Actinomycetes; Bifidobacteriales; Bifidobacteriaceae. The record is from RNAcentral. RNAcentral also lists the same sequence under 1 other name.
CGCGGGGUGGAGCAGCUCGGUAGCUCGCUGGGCUCAUAACCCAGAGGUCUCAGGUUCAAAUCCUGACCCCGCUACUA